This 497-nucleotide ribosomal RNA is filed under the name uncultured bacterium. RNAcentral describes it as "partial 16S ribosomal RNA". It matches the Rfam family "Bacterial small subunit ribosomal RNA", at positions 28 to 507 of the family's 1533-position model. The record is from RNAcentral.
GAUGAACGCUGGCGGCGUGCCUAAUACAUGCAAGUCGAGCGAACAGACGAGGAGCUUGCUCCUCUGACGUUAGCGGCGGACGGGUGAGUAACACGUGGAUAACCUACCUAUAAGACUGGGAUAACUUCGGGAAACCGGAGCUAAUACCGGAUAAUAUAUUGAACCGCAUGGUUCAAUAGUGAAAGACGGUUUUGCUGUCACUUAUAGAUGGAUCCGCGCCGCAUUAGCUAGUUGGUAAGGUAACGGCUUACCAAGGCAACGAUGCGUAGCCGACCUGAGAGGGUGAUCGGCCACACUGGAACUGAGACACGGUCCAGACUCCUACGGGAGGCAGCAGUAGGGAAUCUUCCGGAAUGGGCGAAAGCUUGACGGAGCAACGCCGCGUGAGUGAUGAAGGUCUUCGGAUCGUAAAACUCUGUUAUUAGGGAAGAACAAAUGUGUAAGUAACUAUGCACGUCUUGACGGUACCUAAUCAGAAAGCCACGGCUAACUACGUG